RNAcentral lists this unclassified non-coding RNA (2308 nucleotides) under Zea mays. RNAcentral's name for it is "misc RNA Zm00001eb322460". Lineage: Eukaryota; Viridiplantae; Streptophyta; Magnoliopsida; Poales; Poaceae. The record is from RNAcentral.
UUUAAGAAGCGCGAUUAUUAUGUACUUACUAGUAAUAAACACGGAUGGUGACGAUCGAGCAGGCAGAAAAAAAGGCGAGAUGACACUCACUCGGAUCCACGGUGGUGACCAUGCCGGCGCCCUGGAAGUAGCACGAGCCGGCGGCGCGGCCCUGGGACUGGUAGUAGGCGUCGAACGCGAACGACGCGUGGCUGCGCACGUCGUCGGGCUGGUAGCACGCCUGCCCGGGCUGUAUCGCCGUGCAGUCGGCGCGCCCGGGCCCGCACGCCCAGUCCAUGGCCGCCUGCACCGCCUUCUGGUCCGCGUCGUCGGCGGCCACGCAGAAGGUCCGGUCCGUCGUGUCGUUCCCCAGGAACCCGUCCGCGCCGGACACGUGCAGGAGGUACACCGGGGUGCCGUUCCCGUAGAACAGGCCCCAGUUCGCCUCCGACACGGGGCCCGCCCGGAGGUCCUCGUUGAAGAGCUCGUAGAUGUAGGCGCUGGACUGCGCGCCGGCGCCGGGCGCCAUGGGCGUGCCGGCCUUCUCCUCCAGCACGUGCUUGAUCAGGUUCGAGUUGUACGCGUCCGCGUUGUCCCUUCCCGCGUACGGCUCCGCGCGCCGGUCCCCGUACGACGGCCACCCCGUCUCCGUCACCAGGAUCGGCACGCCCGCGCCGCCCGUCGCGUUCAGGUUCCGCACGGCCACGCGCACCGCGUCCAGCAUCGCGUCGAACACGUUCGUGUACCGGAGCAGCGUGUUCGGGUCCACCAUCUCCAUCGACGGCGGCAGCGGCCGGAACAGCGCGUUGUCCAGCGGGAUCACGCCCUUGCUCUGCAUCAGCGAGUAGUAGGGGUACAGGUUCAGCAUCAGCGGCGCCGACGUGUUGGCGAGGUGCGCCAGCAGCGGCGCCACGAACGACUUGUCCAGGGACUGGUUGAAGAAGGCCUGCGACGGCGGGAACGGGUCCACCACCACGGAGAAGGGCAGCGGCGUCGACACCGGGAUGGACGAGAGGUUGGCGGCGGCGAGCGCGGCCGCCAGGGACCGGAUGGCCGGGAGCAGCACGGGCAGCGCCGACGGGAGCGCGGUCGGGACCUCGUCCCCGACGGCGAUGGCGGAGACGACGUUCGGGGUGCUGGAGUUCACGCCCGCGAAGGGGACCACGCGGCGGGACACCCAGGAGGCGGCCGUCGCCGGGGAGGACCCCAGCGCCAGGAGCUCGUCGUUGGGGACCCCCACGAUGGCACGCACGCCGGAGGCCGCUAGCGCCGACAGCAGCCGCGGGUCCGCGUCGUACAGCCGCACGCGGGUGAUGCGCUGCGCGCGCAGGAACGACGCCAGGUCCGACGGCGACAGCAGGUUCGUCACCUGCGUGCCGAUCGUCACGCCCACGUACGGCUCGCCGGACCCCGCCGCCGACACCAGCACCGCCGAUGGGCCUGCUGCGGUUGCAACCAGUCAGCGAAACCCGGCAUUUGCAAUUGCCGACCCAACCCAGCAAGAAGAAGAGCAGGCGGGCGAAGGUUAUCAAGAUUCAAGAACGAAUCCAAUAGAGGAUGACUGGAGAUAGAGAGAACUUACAGCGAAGAGAGAUGAGGUGGAGCAAGAGGAGGAAGGGGAAGAGUAGCAAGCAGCUGCCACUGACACUCCCUCCUCCGCUCCUGCUCCCCAUUGGGAUUUGGUAGUGUGCCCUGCUGCGCCUGCUCCUGCUCGUGCCGGCCUCCGGGACUGCUUCUUUCGUCCAAGACUGCUUCUUUUGAUGCGCACUCGAUCGCUUUCUCCAGGAAUCUCCUUCCCUCCCACCCCCAAGAUUGCUGAUUUCUGCUGCGUGGCGUUGGCGUGGGAGUGGGAGCGUGCGUGCUUGCCGCUUGGUGCUGGAUGGAUGGAGCUGGUCCUGGAGUGAUGUCGGCGAGGUUGGUGAGGUGUCGGGGCAAAAGAUGCGUUGGGAUUGGGGGAUUUUCCGGGGCUCGGUUGGGAGUGGGUGAAUUACUGACUCUUUGUUUCUUGGUUAUUGGUGCCUUCUAGGGUUCAAGGUUCAUUAGCUGAUUAGUGUCGACUCCUCACUCCGCUGCUAUUCGGUGGGGACACAGGGUGGGGGAGAAAGCAGUGUGCCAGAGAGUCAGCAACCUGGACAAUGGGCACUGAAAUAUGCACAAGUCAUGUCAAUGGUGGACCCCCCCCUUUCUGGCCACCUUGCUAAACCCUUGUUUUUCCCCAGACAGUUUUAGUGCUGUAAUAACGAUCCAAAAAUGUUUUAGGCAAUAUUCGCGCCCGUUGAGCUUAAACUACAUUUUUCACAAGAAUUUCAUUGAAGAAGAAACUAGGGUG